RNAcentral lists this ribosomal RNA (472 nucleotides) under uncultured bacterium. Its description in RNAcentral is "SSU rRNA". It matches the Rfam family "Bacterial small subunit ribosomal RNA", at positions 26 to 518 of the family's 1533-position model. The record is from RNAcentral.
AGGAUAAACGCUGGCGGCGUGCAUGAGACAUGCAAGUCGAACGGACACUCGGGGCUUGCUCCGAGUGUUAGUGGCGGACGGCUGAGUAACGCGUAGGUGACCUGCCCCGAAGUGGGGAAUAACUGCCCGAAAGGGUGGCUAAUACCGCAUGUGGUGGAACGUUCAUUCGUUCCAGUAAAGCCGCAAGGCGCUUCGGGAGGGGCCUGCGUCCGAUUAGCUCGUUGGUGGGGUAACGGCUCACCAAGGCGACGAUCGGUAGGUGGUCUGAGAGGACGAUCACCCAGACUGGGACUGAGACACGGCCCAGACUCCUACGGGAGGCAGCAGUCGGGAAUUUUGCGCAAUGGACGAAAGUCUGACGCAGCAACGCCGCGUGAGGGAUGACGGCCUUCGGGUUGUAAACCUCUUUAUCAGGGACGAUAAUGACGGUACCUGAUGAAUAAGUCACGGCUAACUACGUGCCAGCAGCCGC